AGAGUAAGAGGAAUGGUUUUCCUCCUGUUCAGACUACCUCAACUCCAGUUAUACAGCUUUGUUCAUCUCCAAGAAUACCCAUGAUACAACUCAGAAUAUAUGAAGCUCAAGAAGAAGGAAGAUCAAUGUGUGGAUGCUUCAGUCCUUCUUAGAAGAAGGAAAAGAAUAUUCACAAGAGUUUUGUCCUCUCUAAAAGAAAUGCAGGAACGAAGAUGGAGCAGAGACAGAAGGAAUGGUCAACCAAUAACUGACCCAACAUUACACUCCUUUUAUGGGUCACAGGGUGCAUGUGGAAGACCGAGGAGAUCAUGCAUGACUCAAGGUCCAUCUGUCCUUUAUGUGGAUCCUAAAAUUGGACUCAGAUCUUCAGGCUUUGUGGCAAGCCUCUUAAGCAACUAGCCUAUCUUGCUAAUUCAAAAAUAAAUAUCAAAGAUCAAAUGUU
Molecule: long non-coding RNA, 442 nt
Filed under: Rattus norvegicus (Norway rat)
Lineage: Eukaryota; Metazoa; Chordata; Mammalia; Rodentia; Muridae
Description: long non-coding RNA NONRATT008281
Source: RNAcentral